Molecule: long non-coding RNA, 1663 nt
Organism: Manihot esculenta (cassava)
Lineage: Eukaryota; Viridiplantae; Streptophyta; Magnoliopsida; Malpighiales; Euphorbiaceae
Exons: 2
Source: RefSeq, a predicted model, not a curated record
GAAAAAAGUUUAUUAAAUUAAUUGUGAUCACUGUUUCACAGCUUAGUUCAUGGUUACGAUGAAGCAACUAUGUAUGGACAAUUAUGAAGCGUUGAGUCACCAAAAGGUGGAAACCCCACAUCUAUCCUCGUAAUCGAACGGCUCUUAGAUAACCUUUUACUGUGUCCUAACGCUCGAGUGUCCAGAUUUGAUGAUGUUUGGAGCGUUAGAGAUUAAAAGAAGAAAGAAAGCAGCUUUUUAUAUAUUAUCUGAAACUCAUGAAAUUUGCUCUCGUAAUUUGUCGUUAUUUGGGCAGUAAACAAAGGCCAAGUCCUCUAAUUUCUCAAGCGAAAUCCUAAGCAAAGCUAACCCAUGUCUUUCUUUCUUUCUAUUGAGUUUCAGAUAGAUGCGUGCGUGUGACUGAGUUUUGGGCAUCAGAAACGAGGGGUGAAAAGAAAAGAAGGGUUGAGUGAACCAAAGACAAGACUGAUGAACAAGGGUUUUGAGGCUUUGAGGGAUUUCAUCAGGAACGAGGGGCAACUGGGCUUAGGGAAGAAUAACUAUGAUGAUCCUCUGAUCCUUCUAAAAUAUAUAUGCCCUAUUACACAGAGAGAGAAUGGAAUGAGCCAUCCAAUCCAAUCUGAUUAUUACUUAUAUCUUGUCUUUUUGAGUCUUAAGCCACUUCUCUUGCUGGCUUUUUCAAUUAAUUACACCCACCACCUUCCCUUCUCUCUCUUUCUCUCUCUCUCUCUCAUUUACUGUGCUGCUAUCCUCGCAUAUUAAAUAAACCCAUCUGCCUCAUCUAACUCUAUCGUCCGAAAAACUUGUUAUUACCAAUUUUUAUCUCCUUAGUUCUCUGUGUUUGUGUCGUCCUCCGGUGGUGAAUACAAGGAUAGUUUUAGCUUUCAUGUGGGUUUAACAAAGGGUUUCUUACAGAGUUUAUUGGCAUUCUGUCCACCUCCCAUCUGUAGAAAUCUGUCUCUCUCACGAGCUCACAUGGAGGUGGGCAUACUGCCAACUGAGCUCUGUUGGUCUCUCUUUGUAAAACUCUCGUGAUGUAUCCUUAACUUGAAUCGGUUCUCUCUCUCUCUCCCUUAUGAGAAAGAUCAAGACGGUGGUAGUUUCUUUCUUGCUCCCAUGGCUUUCUACUCAACUUCGCUUCCAUAAGCUCAGGGGGAUAGAUCGGAAAACAAAGGAGCAUAUGUCUUAAAGGUGCUUGCUUUAUAGUGUAGUCCAAAGUCUAGCAGAUUUUUUCAAAUUAUCUGCGAAACAUCAUUCUGAAGUCUUCAGUUCAGUUUUUUUAGAUCUUCAUGUACGGCUUGAAGUUUGGGAAACUUUUUUAUUUUUGCUGAUUUUGUUUGUUUCCUUCUAUUUCAUCAAGCAGUGCAUACACAUAUAUGCUUCAUUGAUGUCGCUUUCGAUCUAGGGUUUCAUAUGUCCUUUUCUUUUCCCUUUUCAUUCUCUUGCUCCAAGCCAGGGAAUUAGGGCACAGGAUUGAAAUGGAUUCGUGGAUAUGAGGUAUGAAAGCUUGAUCUUUGCUUCUUUAAGUUUAGAGGGUGAGGGGUUUGAAUUCUCUUUGAAAAGACUCCAUCACAAGGGUUUUUGAAUUAAAGCUGUUAAAUUCUAAUCAUUGUAUGUGUAGAUUAAUUAUCAGAUCACAAUCAAAGGUGGAGAUUUCAUUGUC